RNAcentral lists this ribosomal RNA (253 nucleotides) under uncultured bacterium. RNAcentral describes it as "partial 16S ribosomal RNA". It matches the Rfam family "Bacterial small subunit ribosomal RNA", at positions 524 to 776 of the family's 1533-position model. The record is from RNAcentral.
UACGAAGGGGGCUAGCGUUGCUCGGAAUUACUGGGCGUAAAGGGCGCGUAGGCGGAUAGUUCAGUUGGGGGUGAAAGCCCGGGGCUCAACCUCGGAACUGCCUUCAAUACUGGCUAUCUUGAGUACGGGAGAGGUGUGUGGAACUCCGAGUGUAGAGGUGAAAUUCGUAGAUAUUCGGAAGAACACCAGUGGCGAAGGCGGCUCACUGGACUGGUAUUGACGCUGAGGUGCGAAAGCGUGGGGAGCAAACAGG